RNAcentral lists this ribosomal RNA (626 nucleotides) under Lactiplantibacillus plantarum. RNAcentral's name for it is "bacterial SSU rRNA". It matches the Rfam family "Bacterial small subunit ribosomal RNA", at positions 62 to 663 of the family's 1533-position model. The record is from RNAcentral. Lineage: Bacteria; Bacillati; Bacillota; Bacilli; Lactobacillales; Lactobacillaceae.
UCUGGUAUUGAUUGGUGCUUGCAUCAUGAUUUACAUUUGAGUGAGUGGCGAACUGGUGAGUAACACGUGGGAAACCUGCCCAGAAGCGGGGGAUAACACCUGGAAACAGAUGCUAAUACCGCAUAACAACUUGGACCGCAUGGUCCGAGUUUGAAAGAUGGCUUCGGCUAUCACUUUUGGAUGGUCCCGCGGCGUAUUAGCUAGAUGGUGGGGUAACGGCUCACCAUGGCAAUGAUACGUAGCCGACCUGAGAGGGUAAUCGGCCACAUUGGGACUGAGACACGGCCCAAACUCCUACGGGAGGCAGCAGUAGGGAAUCUUCCACAAUGGACGAAAGUCUGAUGGAGCAACGCCGCGUGAGUGAAGAAGGGUUUCGGCUCGUAAAACUCUGUUGUUAAAGAAGAACAUAUCUGAGAGUAACUGUUCAGGUAUUGACGGUAUUUAACCAGAAAGCCACGGCUAACUACGUGCCAGCAGCCGCGGUAAUACGUAGGUGGCAAGCGUUGUCCGGAUUUAUUGGGCGUAAAGCGAGCGCAGGCGGUUUUUUAAGUCUGAUGUGAAAGCCUUCGGCUCAACCGAAGAAGUGCAUCGGAAACUGGGAAACUUGAGUGCAGAAGAGGACAGUG